Molecule: ribosomal RNA, 429 nt
Filed under: Gemmatimonadota bacterium
Lineage: Bacteria; Pseudomonadati; Gemmatimonadota
Description: Gemmatimonadetes bacterium partial 16S ribosomal RNA
Rfam family: Bacterial small subunit ribosomal RNA
Source: RNAcentral
UAGGGAAUCUUCGGCAAUGGACGAAAGUCUGACCGAGCAACGCCGCGUGAGUGAAGAAGGUUUUCGGAUCGUAAAACUCUGUUGUUAGAGAAGAACAAGGACGUUAGUAACUGAACGUCCCCUGACGGUAUCUAACCAGAAAGCCACGGCUAACUACGUGCCAGCAGCCGCGGUAAUACGUAGGUGGCAAGCGUUGUCCGGAUUUAUUGGGCGUAAAGCGAGCGCAGGCGGUUUCUUAAGUCUGAUGUGAAAGCCCCCGGCUCAACCGGGGAGGGUCAUUUGAAACUGGGAGACUUGAGUGCAGAAGAGGAGAGUGGAAUUCCAUAUGUAGCGGUGAAAUGCGUAGAUAUAUGGAGGAACACCAGUGGCGAAGGCGGCUCUCUGGUCUGUAACUGACGCUGAGGCUCGAAAGCGUGGGGAGCAAACAGG